GACGAACGCUGGCGGCGUGCUUAACACAUGCAAGUCGAACGGAAAGGCCCUGCUUUUGUGGGGUGCUCGAGUGGCGAACGGGUGAGUAACACGUGAGUAACCUGCCCUUGACUUUGGGAUAACUUCAGGAAACUGGGGCUAAUACCGGAUAGGAGCUCCUGCUGCAUGGUGGGGGUUCGAAAGUUUCGGCGGUUGGGGAUGGACUCGCGGCUUAUCAGCUUGUUGGUGGGGUAGUGGCUUACCAAGGCUUUGACGGGUAGCCGGCCUGAGAGGGUGACCGGCCACAUUGGGGCUGAGAUACGGCCCAGACUCCUACGGGAGGCAGCAGUGGGGAAUAUUGCACAAUGGGCGGAAGCCUGAUGCAGCAACGCCGCGUGCGGGAUGACGGCCUUCGGGUUGUAAACCGCUUUCGCCUGUGACGAAGCGUGAGUGACGGUAAUGGGUAAAGAAGCACCGGCUAACUACGUG
This 468-nucleotide ribosomal RNA is filed under the name uncultured bacterium. RNAcentral's name for it is "partial 16S ribosomal RNA". It matches the Rfam family "Bacterial small subunit ribosomal RNA", at positions 28 to 507 of the family's 1533-position model. The record is from RNAcentral.